RNAcentral lists this ribosomal RNA (253 nucleotides) under uncultured prokaryote. RNAcentral describes it as "partial 16S ribosomal RNA". It matches the Rfam family "Bacterial small subunit ribosomal RNA", at positions 524 to 776 of the family's 1533-position model. The record is from RNAcentral.
UACGGAGGGUGCGAACGUUGUUCGGAAUCACUGGGCUUAAAGGGCGCGUAGGCGGGCUGUCAAGUCUGGGGUGAAAUCCCACGGCUCAACCGUGGAACUGCCUUAGAUACUGACGGCCUCGAGGGAGAUAGGGGCGAGCGGAACUGUGAGUGGAGCGGUGAAAUGCGUUGAUAUUCACAGGAACUCCGGUGGCGAAGGCGGCUCGCUGGAUCUCUUCUGACGCUGAGGCGCGAAAGCUAGGGGAGCAAACGGG